Molecule: ribosomal RNA, 449 nt
Filed under: uncultured bacterium
Lineage: Bacteria
Description: bacterial SSU rRNA
Rfam family: Bacterial small subunit ribosomal RNA
Source: RNAcentral
UUCCAGACUCCUACGGGAGGCAGCAGUGGGGAAUAUUGGGCAAUGGAGGAAACUCUUACCCAGCAAUGCCGCGUGAAUGAAGAAGGUCUUCGGAUUGUAAAGUUCUUUAAUUGGGGACGAAAAAAAUGACGGUACCCAAGGAAUAAGCCCCGGCUAACUACGUGCCAGCAGCCGCGGUAAUACGUAGGGGGCGAGCGUUAUCCGGAUUCAUUGGGCGUAAAGCGCGCGUAGGCGGCCUGUUAGGUCGGGGGUCAAAUACCGGGGCUCAACCCCGGUCCGCCCCCGAUACCGGCAGGCUUGAGUCUGGUAGGGGAAGGCGGAAUUCCCAGUGUAGCGGUGGAAUGCGCAGAUAUUGGGAAGAACACCGGCGGCGAAGGCGGCCUUCUGGGCCACGACUGACGCUGAGGCGCGAAAGCUAGGGGAGCGAACAGGAUUAGAUACCCCGGUAA